GGGAAAUCCAAAACUUUCCCACAACUUCCAACGAACCAAAUGUGCUAGCUGGGUAGAAGCCUAGAAAGCAAAUAAACAUUAUCUGGGAAGUGGAGAGGCAGCAGAGAAACGAAACUUAGACAGACUUUGCUGGAAACAAAACUGAAGGUUAAGAAGAAACGUGUGGCAAAGAGCGACUGUGCUCAGCCCGAUCACGCCCACACACACAAUGCAGGCUGAGGGUGUUAGCUGCUUUCCUUUGGCUGUCAGAAUUGCAAUGACAGAGCGGGGGGGGGUUCAAGGUAUAAAAGGAGGUUACAAUGUUUGAUCUGUCCUUUCUAUCCUGCGGAGCCCUCCGCUUAAGGAUUUGGAGUCAAAUGUCUAUAGUACAAGAUAACUUUGACAAGACUAUAAUACAUGGACUGGUGACCCUCUGUCCGGUCACUAUUGAGUUCCCACUCUGUUUGCUUGCUGUGUAUUUACUUUGAAGAGGAGGAGAGGAGGAGGAGGAAAGGAGAUGAAAAGCCUGCUCCCAAGGGCAGGUCACUGGGUCCCUGGCCAUGUCCUAGUGGGGGGUGUUGGGAGUCUGUCCCCUAGCAGGUACUGACCCUCAGCAUGACCUCGCAGGACCUGGUCAGUCGGGCCUGGUGAGCAGAGCCAGGAGCUGCAGAUUAACUGAUCCGCAGCGACCUUGACGCACCGACGAACCCAAGCACCAGACACCCGAAGACACCUGAGACGACUAGAUGAAGCUCAUCCGAAGCACAAAGCUUAUAUUACUUACCUGAAUACUUAAACGAAAUGUACCCUAGAAUGCCGCCAGAUGAAGAACCAUUCUUUUCUUUUUUUGGUUGGCUUCUGGUUGUCUGCGUUGCUUGGUUUCGGCGGCUCAUGGGGGGCCUGCUGAAGAAAACGCAUUCCCAAAUACACUGCAAUGCUGAAUGCAUAAUUUCCAUGAAAAUGUAAAAAUGUUAAAUAAAAAUUGAAAAAAACAUUGCAACAUGAACAAACUUACCUGUGCCAUUUGUUCUGUAGUUGUCAUUUUGGAUAUUUAUACACUCUGAUAUUGAUGCCACAUUGCAGAGAACAGCUGCAAAGUUAUAACAUCGCAAAUAAUACUUAGUUAGU
RNAcentral lists this long non-coding RNA (1107 nucleotides) under Salmo salar (Atlantic salmon). Its description in RNAcentral is "lncRNA (ENSSSAG00000087314.1)". Lineage: Eukaryota; Metazoa; Chordata; Actinopteri; Salmoniformes; Salmonidae. The record is from RNAcentral.